This 3980-nucleotide small RNA is filed under the name Pongo abelii (Sumatran orangutan). RNAcentral's name for it is "processed transcript". The record is from RNAcentral. Lineage: Eukaryota; Metazoa; Chordata; Mammalia; Primates; Hominidae.
ACGGAAGCGCGCUGGGACUGACACGUGGACUUGGGCGGUGCUGCCCGGGUGGGUCAGCCUGAGCUGGGAGGCAGCCCCGGGACACAGCUGUGCCCACGCCGUCCGAGCACCCCAAGCCUGAUGCAGCCACCCCCAGACGAGACCCGCAGGGACAUGGCUGGGGACACCCAGUGGUCCAGGCCCGAGUGCCAGGCAUGGACGGGGACGCUGCUGCUGGGCACGUGCCUUCUGUACUGCGCCCGCUCCAGCAUGCCCAUCUGCACUGUCUCCAUGAGCCAGGACUUCGGCUGGAACAAGAAGGAGGCCGGCAUCGUGCUCAGCAGCUUCUUCUGGGGCUACUGCCUGACGCAGGUUGUGGGUGGCCACCUCGGGGAUCGGAUUGGGGGUGAGAAGGUCAUCCUGCUGUCAGCCUCUGCCUGGGGCUCCAUCACGGCCAUCACCCCACUGCUCGCCCACCUGAGCAGUGCCCACCUGGCCCUCAUGACCUCCUCACGCAUCCUCAUGGGCUUGCUCCAAGGGGUUUACUUCCCUGCCCUGACCAGCCUGCUGUCGCAGAAGGUGCGGGAGAGUGAGCGAGCCUUCACCUACAGCAUCGUGGGCGCCGGCUCCCAGUUUGGGACGCUGCUGACCGGGGCAGUGGGCUCCCUGCUCCUGGAAUGGUACGGCUGGCAGAGCAUCUUCUAUUUCUCUGGCGGCCUCACCUUGCUUUGGGUGUGGUACGUGUACAGGUACCUGCUGAGUGAAAAAGGUAACGCAGGCCGGGCGGGCUAGUCCCGGGUGCCCACGGCUGCUCAGUGCCUCCUGGAGCAGGAGCCCGGAGACGGCGGCUUUGACCUCCCAAAGAAUCCACCAGUGAGGAAAAGCGCUCGGGUGCUAAGCUGUCAGCGGCUCUGCCACCCAAUUCGAUCUGGAAGGUUCCAUCUAGGGCUAAGGCAGACACCCAGGAAGACCUGCUGUGCACAGGUCAAGGCAGGGUGCAGGAGCAGCCGAGUCUUUGGGUGGCCAGGAGGGGGCUCUGGAGGAGGCCAUGGGGAGGGUUGUUCAGAACGGUUCUGAAGGUGAUGCUGCCUGUUAGGUUCCUGGUAGGGAAGGCUACAGGAGGCUGGCGCCAAUGUGCAGUCUGAGGCAUGGACGAGGCCUGCUGAGCCCUCUGGAACCACCCCCAAAUCCCCAAUCCUUUGGCAACGGAUGGCGCCUCCCGCCCUGAUAGCCAUCACUUUGAAACCGUUGCUCCCUUAGAUCUCAUCCUGGCCUUGGGUGUCCUGGCCCAAGGCCGGCCGGUGUCCAGGCACAGCAGAGUCCCCUGGAGACGGCUCUUCCGGAAGCCUGCUGUCUGGGCAGCCAUCGUCUCCCAGCUCUCUGCAGCCUGCUCCUUCUUCGUCCUCCUCUCCUGGCUGCCCACCUUCUUCAAGGAGACCUUCCCCGACGCCAAGGUGAGUCGGGGGCUCCCGCAGGGUGAAGGAGCCCCCAGAAGGCACGAGGCUUGAGCUGCACCAGGCACCGUGGGUCCUUGGCCUGCAGAUGGCGGAACCCUCGGCUCCUCCUGGUCUCUGAGGGUCCUGGCACUGCCAGGCUCUUCCUCUGGAGAGGACCCCGUCCAUGCUCGGGGCAGGUUUCUGUGUUUGAGGCUGGAAAUGAUGCAGGUGUUUGGUGCCUUCCUGCUGCGGCUGCAGCCCUCCAGCCCUCACCGGUGACCUGCUGGCCCACAGAACCCGACUUCAGAGCCUGAGGAGGCCGGUGCAGAAGCCGGGAUGUGGACAGAGGGGUCACCUGCGGGCUGGAUCUUCAACGUGGUGCCUUGGUUGGUGGCGAUUCCGGCCAGUCUAUUCAGCGGGUUUCUCUCUGAUCAUCUCAUCAAUCAGGGUUACAGAGCCAUCACGGUGCGGAAGCUCAUGCAGGGCAUGGGCCUUGGCCUCUCCAGUGUCUUUGCUCUGUGCCUGGGCCACACCUCCAGCUUCUGUGAGUCUGUGGUCUUUGCAUCAGCCUCCAUCGGCCUCCAGACCUUCAACCACAGUGGCAUUUCCGUUAACAUCCAGGACUUGGCCCCGUCCUGCGCCGGCUUUCUGUUUGGUGUGGCCAACACCGCCGGGGCCUUGGCAGGUGAGGGGCGGGCCUCUGCGCCCAGGAGUUCCCCUGUCUGUGGGGUUUGAGCCCACCGAGGUGCUGCAGAGUGGGGGUGUGCUUCCCUUCAGAGGGGGUCCCGGUGUCAGAGGAGGGCGCAGACCCCAGAGCAGGCCCAGGAGAGGAGGAUGUGGCUGCCUUCCAGGUUCCACUGGACUUUGCUGAUGGCAGGUGGCUCAUGGGUCGCCAUCUGCCCUGAUUCACAGAUAUGUUCCCAUCCUGGUAGCCCAGGGUCCCCGGGACACCGCCUGGCCCCGCUGAGUGCCGUGGAUGAUGGGGGUCCUUCUCCAGCUCAGCCUUGCCUGGGCCGGCCUGUGGCUCCCAUUUCCCCUUCAGUGGGACAAGGGGGACUUGUUACCAGGCCAUUUUCUGGAUGGCCUAUGAGAUCUCUGCCCCUCCAAGACCCUCCAAGUCUGAGCCUGACCCACAGCUGGGACACCGAAUUCAGCCCUGGGAACCAUGGGGGCUUCUGUCUAUCAGGCGCUAGACCCCCAGCCCUUCCCCUGGCACUACCCUGGGAACCAGGGUGGGACGUGGGGCCUGGGCUGCCCGGGAGUGCUCAGCCCACCUGGGCCUCUUUUGGGCAGGUGUCGUGGGUGUGUGUCUGGGCGGCUACUUGAUCGAGACCACGGGCUCCUGGACUUGCCUGUUCAACCUUGUGGCCAUCAUCAGCAACGUGGGGCUGUGCACCUUCCUGGUGUUUGGACAGGCCCAGAGGGUGGACCUGAGCUCCACCCACGAGGACCUCUAGCUCCCAACCCCACAGCCUCUCCAAGGACCCAGGCACCAGCAGCCCCGGGACAGAGGGGACUCAGUGUGUGGGACUUGGUCACUCCAUGUUAGACACACGAGCAGAGAGGAACGCAAACCACUGUGGAGCCUGAAGCUGCUGAAGGAGAGUCCACACCAGUUGGCGGGAGGGUGGGGUGGGCCUGGGUCCAGACCAGGCUCGCUGCUCUCUGGGCCUCAGUUUCCCCACCUGCCAGCGGGCUCGGCCCUGUCCUUACAGGCUGGUGUGGCCGUCAGGGUGAGUGGGGUUAUUGUUAGUAGGCGCAGCCUCAUUCCCACCACGAUCUGUUCCGCGUGGUUCCCGCCAAGCCUCCCGCGGUUGCCGUGCUCUCCGCAAGCCUCUUGCAGCGCCCGCCUGCUAAUGUGAGGCUGGCACCAGGCUGCAGCCUCCCCAAUCCCAGCCCAUUUUGCUGUGUCUCUGGCGGGCUGUCCUCCUUAGUGGGAGCUGUCCUGUGCACUGUAGGAUGCUUAAAGGUAUCCUUGGCCUCCACCCACCCCUUGCCAGCAGCACCUACUCUCCCUCCUCCCAGUCAGACAACAGCCAGAAAUGUCUCCAGACUCUGCCCAUCCUCCCCGGGUAGCCACCCUCGAGACAUGACCUCAGAGUCUCUGUGUCUCCCAGCAGCCUGACAGAGACCCCCAGGGCAGUGGGUGGGUGGCGGGCUAGAGACCCUUGCCCGUUUCUGGGACCCUGGUGCCGCUCUCCCCUCCUGUGGAUCCCUCCGCACUAACAGUGUUCUCAGUGGGCAGACGCCUGGGCACCCCUUGGGCCUGCCCAGCAUGGCCAUGGCGCAGGCUCUGGAACCCACACGGCUUUCCCAGACCUGGUGAUUCUGCUCUCCAGGGACGGUUGGCACCUUCCUCAGGGGCGGGCCCCACGCACCCCAGAACACACAGACCCACCUUUCUGGCGUUCUUUCUACCUCCCUUUUCAUUGCCUGAGGAGCUGGUGGUUUCAUGAGUUAAUGAUACAUCUUGCAAGGUGUACACAUAGAGAAAAAAACCUAAAAAUGUGGAAAAGCACGCCAAAGCCUUAUUUAAAUAAUAACUAUUAAACUAUUCAAAAAGAA